AGUGGCGAACGAGCGAGUAACACGUAAGUAUCUGCCCUGUACUCAGGGAUAACUGCCCGAAAGGGUGGCUAAUACCGGAUGGUCCCCGACUUGUCGGGGUACAGACUUAUCGGGUACAGGAAAGAGCUUGCGGCUUAUCAGCUAGUUGGUAGGGUAAAAGCCUACCAAGGCUAUGACGAGUAACUGGUGUGAGAGCCUGACCAGUCGCGAUGGGACUGAGACACGGUCCAUACUCCUACGGGAGGCAGCAGUAGGGAAUCUUCCGCAAUGGACGAAAGUCUGACGGAGCGACACCGCGUGAAGGAUGACGGCCCCAAGGGUUGUACACUUCUUUUCUGGACGGAAGAAAAUCUGCCGGUACCUCCAGGAAUAGGCCCCGGCCAAUUACCGUGCCAGCAGCCCCGGUAAUACGUAAGGGGCAAGCGUUAACCGGAAUCAUUGGGCGUAAGGCGUCCGCAGACGGAAAUGUAAGUCGGUUAUUAAAUACCGGAGCUCAACUUCGGUGCUGUAAUCGAAACUACGUUUCUAGAGGAUGGGAGAGGCAUAUGGAACUCAGCAAGUAGGGGUAAAAUCCGUAGAUAUGCUGAAGAAUACCAAAAGCGAAGGCAGUAUGCUGGACCAUUCCUGACGCUCAGGGACGAAAGCGUAGGGAGCGAAACGGAUUAGAUACCCGUGUAGUCUACGCCGUAAACGAUGCGUGCUCGGUGUUGGAGAGCUCGACCUCUCUCCAGCGCCUAAGGUAACUCGAUAAGCACGCCGCCUGUGUAGUACGAGCGCAAGCUUAAAACACAAAGGAAUAGACGGGGACCCACACAAGCGGUGGAUCGCGGGGUUUAAUUCGUUAACCAGCGGGUAACCUUACCCAGGCUUGACAUCCUGGUUAUACCUUUCAGAAAUGAUGGGGUCAGUUAGGCUGGAUCGGUGACAGGCGUUGCAUGGUUGUCGUCAGCUCGUGCCUUGAGGCGUUCGGUUAAGUCCGUUAACGAGCGCAACCCUCGCCGUAUGUUGUAUUUUCAUGCGGGACUGCCAGUUAUAAACUGGAGGAAGGUGGGGAUGACGUCAAAUCAGCAUGACCCUUAUGUCUUGGGCUACACACGUGGUACAAUGGCCAGUACAAACCGAAGCGAAGCGGUAACGUGGAGCCAAUCGGAGAAAACUGGUCUCAGUUCGGAUUGAGGUCUGCAACUCGACCUCAUGAAGUUGGAAUCGCUAGUAAUCGUAUAUCAGUCAUGGUACGGUGAAUAUGUUCCUGGGUCUUGUACUCACCGCCCGUCAAGGCAUGGGAGCUGGGGGUGCCCGAAGUCUGCCUAUUAAAGGUGGCCUAAGGCAAAACC
RNAcentral lists this ribosomal RNA (1334 nucleotides) under uncultured prokaryote. RNAcentral's name for it is "partial 16S ribosomal RNA". It matches the Rfam family "Bacterial small subunit ribosomal RNA", at positions 94 to 1469 of the family's 1533-position model. The record is from RNAcentral.